CAGUAGCCGCGGUAAAACGUAGGGUGCAAGCGUUAAUCGGAAUUACUGGGCGUAAAGCGUGCGCAGGCGGUUUGUUAAGACAGAUGUGAAAUCCCCGGGCUCAACCUGGGAACUGCAUUUGUGACUGGCAAGCUAGAGUGUGGCAGAGGGGGGUGGAAUUCCGCGUGUAGCAGUGAAAUGCGUAGAUAUGCGGAGGAACACCGAUGGCGAAGGCAGCCCCCUGGGCCAACACUGACGCUCAUGCACGAAAGCGUGGGGAGCAAACAGGAUUAGAUACCCCAGUAGUCCCUGUCUCUUAUAC
RNAcentral lists this ribosomal RNA (301 nucleotides) under uncultured bacterium. RNAcentral's name for it is "partial 16S ribosomal RNA". It matches the Rfam family "Bacterial small subunit ribosomal RNA", at positions 509 to 807 of the family's 1533-position model. The record is from RNAcentral.